GACGAACGCUGGCGGCGUGCCUAAUACAUGCAAGUAGAACGCUGAAGAGAGGAGCUUGCUCUUCUUGGAUGAGUUGCGAACGGGUGAGUAACGCGUAGGUAACCUGCCUUGUAGCGGGGGAUAACUAUUGGAAACGAUAGCUAAUACCGCAUAACAAUGGAUGACACAUGUCAUUUAUUUGAAAGGGGCAAUUGCUCCACUACAAGAUGGACCUGCGUUGUAUUAGCUUGUAGGUGAGGUAACGGCUCACCUAGGCGACGAUACAUAGCCGACCUGAGAGGGUGAUCGGCCACACUGGGACUGAGACACGGCCCAGACUCCUACGGGAGGCAGCAGUAGGGAAUCUUCGGCAAUGGGGGCAACCCUGACCGAGCAACGCCGCGUGAGUGAAGAAGGUUUUCGGAUCGGAAAGCUCUGUUGUAAGUCAAGAACGAGUGUGAGAGUGGAAAGUUCACACUGUGACGGUAGCUUACCAGAAAGGGACGGCUAACUACGUG
RNAcentral lists this ribosomal RNA (497 nucleotides) under uncultured bacterium. RNAcentral describes it as "partial 16S ribosomal RNA". It matches the Rfam family "Bacterial small subunit ribosomal RNA", at positions 28 to 507 of the family's 1533-position model. The record is from RNAcentral.